UACGUAGGGCGCAAGCGCUGUCCGGAAUUAUUGGGCGUAAAGAGCUCGUAGGCGGUUUGUCGCGUCUGCUGUGAAAACCUAAGGCUCAACCUUGGGCUUGCAGUGGGUACGGGCAGACUAGAGUGCGGUAGGGGUGACUGGAAUUCCUGGUGUAGCGGUGGAAUGCGCAGAUAUCAGGAGGAACACCCGUGGCGAAAGCGGCUCUCUGGGACGGUACUGACGCUGAGACGCGAAAGCGUGGGGAGCAAACAGG
Molecule: ribosomal RNA, 253 nt
Filed under: uncultured bacterium
Lineage: Bacteria
Description: partial 16S ribosomal RNA
Rfam family: Bacterial small subunit ribosomal RNA
Source: RNAcentral